GUGAAAAAUUGACAUAGAUACUGAGGUAUCAAGUGAAUUUAUAAUUUCAAUUGGCCCAGAUUCCCUGGCUGCCCACUAUAUGAAUUAAAUCAGAAUAUCUAGGGGUGGGGCUCAAUCAUCAUGAUGUUUAAACUCUCCAAGUGAGUCCAAAGUUCAGCCAAAGCUGUAAGAGUGAAUUGUCCAAGGGCCAUUAGAGUCACCUGAUACUUUGCUGGACAUAUAGAAUCUUGGGUUCCAUCUCAGAAUCUGCAUGUUAUAAUUUUAGAAGCACUGCUCUGGAACAGUACUUCUUAAACUUAAACCAUGCAUAAGGACCCCCUGGAAGGCUUGUGAAAACACAGAUUCCUGAGCCCUAUCUCCAGUUACAGAUUCAGCAGGCUUGGGAAGCAGCAGGACAGUUUACAUUUCUAACAAGUUCAUAGGUGCUGCUACUGCUGUAAGUGGGUCCCACAGCGUUGUAGACUUGCUGCUGCUGCUGCUGCUAAGUCGCUUCAGUCGUGUCCGACUCUGUGCGACCCCAGAGACAGCAGGCCACCAGGCUCCCCUGUCCCUGGGAUUCUCCAUGCAAGAACACUGGAGUGGGUUGCCAUUUCCUUCUCCAGGUGUACUUAAUACUGAAGAAUGGGCGGGGGAGGAGCAUCCACAACUCAAAAGGCUAGAAAGGCUCGGAGGCUGUGUGUGGGCAGUGAUUCUUCUCCCAGUGCAGGGUUUGAUGCGAGAACCUCUUCUCUGAGGGCAAGAGUGAGCGGAGUGAGAAGAGGGUUUGAGGGUUUCAGUUACUUCUGAAAAAGAAGCAGCAUCUCUUCAUGUGAGAAGAAAUGAAGUACCACACUGAAGAAGGAUCUCAUUUGCAUGCAUUGCUCUUCCCAGCUCCUGUCCUGUGUACCCUUCAGGUCUUCCCACUUAAAAUUGCAUGUGGAGAAGGUAAUGGCAGCCCACUCCAGCAUACUUGUCUGGAGAAUUCCAUGGUUGGAAGAAACUGGUGGGCUACAGUCCAUGAUGUCGCAAAGAAUCAGGCACGACUGAGUGACUUUCACUUCACAAGCAUAUGCCGUGUUGCUUUGUGUGUCUUUAAACAUUUAAAUAAAUCAUGCUUUUAUAUAUUGGCAUUUAUCUUGAUUUUUUUAUUUAACAUUAUGUUUUUGAUAUUUAUGCAGGUUGCUACAUUCAGAUUUAAUUAAGUCCUUGCCAUAGUAAAAGGUAUGUUAACUUUUAGAUGUAUCAAUAUAAUAUGAAUGUCUUUAAUCCUUCUCUAGGAUCACUUUUUACUAUUAAAGCAUGUAGCACAGGGAACUAUUAUCAAUAUCUUUAAUAACCUGUAAUGGAAAAGAAUCUAAAAAGAAAGUAUACCUAUAUCUUAAUCUCUUUGCUGUAAACCUGGAACUAACACAACACUGUAAAUUAUAUUUCCAUAAAAAUUAAAAAAUCUAAGCCUCUUUCCUCAGUGACUGCAUGUGGUCCAGGCCUCUCCCAAAAUUUUAUCUAAGGAUUCCCAAUAAUGCUUUCACCCAAUCAGUUGUCAAUUAUCAAGAACUUAUGAGCUUGCAAUGAUUGCUGUAAAAGAUAUUUGUUGAUGUACUCCUAGAAAAGAAAAAGUAUGCUUGAGUGAAAUAAAUUAGCUCCAAAUAAAAAAAUCUUAUUUGACAGACUUUUACAAAACUGUUCACAUUUUUCUAAGUUCAGCUAGAAGGAGGAGUCUGUCACUAGAAUUAAAAAUAACUCUGUUCCCAGAAUUCCAUAAUGGGUAAGAAAGUUCAAAAGAAUAAAAAUGUUUAAAGAUAAUACUGCUACUGCUACAAAAAGGCUUUAGAUAUAUUAACUAUUUUGAAGAUGAGUUCUAUUUUACCCGCCUUUAUUGUGUCUAAUAAUCAUAUAAAACAAGG
RNAcentral lists this long non-coding RNA (1883 nucleotides) under Bos grunniens (domestic yak). RNAcentral's name for it is "lncRNA (ENSBGRG00000002679.1)". Lineage: Eukaryota; Metazoa; Chordata; Mammalia; Artiodactyla; Bovidae. The record is from RNAcentral.